GUCUCAGUAGCUCAGUUGGAUAGAGCACAUGCCUCCUAAGCAUGGGGCCGAGGGUUCGACUCCCCCCUGGGACG
RNAcentral lists this transfer RNA (74 nucleotides) under Agathobaculum butyriciproducens. RNAcentral describes it as "tRNA-Arg". It matches the Rfam family "tRNA". Rfam says of the family: Transfer RNA (tRNA) molecules are approximately 80 nucleotides in length. Their secondary structure includes four short double-helical elements and three loops (D, anti-codon, and T loops). Lineage: Bacteria; Bacillati; Bacillota; Clostridia; Eubacteriales; Butyricicoccaceae. The record is from RNAcentral.